This 253-nucleotide ribosomal RNA is filed under the name uncultured bacterium. Its description in RNAcentral is "partial 16S ribosomal RNA". It matches the Rfam family "Bacterial small subunit ribosomal RNA", at positions 524 to 776 of the family's 1533-position model. The record is from RNAcentral.
UACGGAGGGUGCAAGCGUUAUCCGGAUUCACUGGGUUUAAAGGGUGCGUAGGUGGGGUGGUAAGUCAGUGGUGAAAUCUCCAGGCUUAACUUGGAAACUGCCAUUGAUACUAUCAUUCUUGAAUAACGUGGAGAUGAGCGGAAUAUGUCAUGUAGCGGUGAAAUGCUUAGAUAUGACAUAGAACACCAAUUGCGAAGGCAGCUCGUUACACGAAUAUUGACACUCAGGCACGAAAGCGUGGGGAUCAAACAGG